Molecule: non-coding RNA, 615 nt
Organism: Clarias gariepinus (North African catfish)
Lineage: Eukaryota; Metazoa; Chordata; Actinopteri; Siluriformes; Clariidae
Source: the annotation of a RefSeq genome assembly
UGCUGCUCAGCAACUUCACCCACAGCAACCAUGACUCUCAUCAGCGUCUUCAUCUGCACACUGGCCCUCUGGACUCAAGGAUCUAGAGGACAGGGGACCGUGACUCAAACUCCUUCAGUGCAAACUGUUGUUCCAGGGAACACCAUCACCCUCAACUGUAAAUUCAGUACUGCUGUUUGGCACGACUGUGGGCCUCAGGGUGUAUCAUACGACUGCCUCGCCUGGUACCUGCAGAAACAGGGAGAAGCUCCUAAACUCUUAGUGCGCUGGGUGAGUCACUUGUUUACAGGAACUCCAGCUCGUUUCAGUGGCAGUGGAUCCAAGACUGACUUCACUCUGACCAUCAGCGGAAUCCAGGCUGAAGAUGCAGGAGAUUACUACUGUCAGAGUAGCCAUAAGAUCAGUAGUAGCUAUGUGUCCACACAGUGUUAUAGCAUCGUACAAAAACCUGGUUCAGUGAGCACAGAAAAGCACUGCUGCAGCUGGGAGUGACUGCAGGUGCCGAGGGGGAGAAUGUGACACACCACAAUCACACACACACACACUGUGGAUAAGAGGAAACACACGCCACACUAACUCACUAAUUCACACACACACGUGUCUGUGAGAUCAAUC